This 484-nucleotide ribosomal RNA is filed under the name uncultured bacterium. RNAcentral describes it as "partial 16S ribosomal RNA". It matches the Rfam family "Bacterial small subunit ribosomal RNA", at positions 29 to 507 of the family's 1533-position model. The record is from RNAcentral.
AUUGAACGCUGGCGGCAUGCUUUACACAUGCAAGUCGAACGGCAGCGCGGGCUUCGGCCUGGCGGCGAGUGGCGAACGGGUGAGUAAUGCAUCGGAACGUGCCCAGUAGUGGGGGAUAGCCCGGCGAAAGCCGGAUUAAUACCGCAUACGACCUGAGGGUGAAAGCGGGGGACCGAAAGGCCUCGCGCUAUUGGCGCGGCCGAUGUCGGAUUAGCUAGUUGGUGGGGUAAAGGCUUACCAAGGCGACGAUCCGUAGCUGGUCUGAGAGGACGACCAGCCACACUGGGACUGAGACACGGCCAAGACUCCUACGGGAGGCAGCAGUGGGGAAUUUUGGACAAUGGGGGCAACACUGAUCAAGCCAUGCCGCGUGCGGGAAGAAGGCCUCCGGGUUGUAAACCGCUUUUGUUGGGGAAGAAAUCCUCUGGGCUAAUACCUCGGGGGGAUGACGGUACCGGAAGAAUAAGCACCGGCUAACUACGUG